This is a long non-coding RNA of Vicia villosa (hairy vetch), 230 nucleotides long. RefSeq lists it as uncharacterized. The record is from RefSeq and is a predicted model, not a curated record. Lineage: Eukaryota; Viridiplantae; Streptophyta; Magnoliopsida; Fabales; Fabaceae. The transcript is spliced from 3 exons.
GGAAUAAAGUGAACGUAUUUCGUCAGUCGAUCACAAAUCACCCAAAUCGUAGUAUGACCGCAAGAACUAGGUACACCCCUGGCCAACAAAAAGAAGCUCUCAACCUAGCCAAUGUUGCCUUCACCCCUGAGUGUCCUGCUGUAGGUGUAUGGUGGUACUCACGCACUAUCUUCUGGCGCAAAUCAGCUAGUGCAGGUAUGGAGUAAAUCAGGCAGCGGGGAGGAGAAAAU